This 497-nucleotide ribosomal RNA is filed under the name uncultured bacterium. RNAcentral's name for it is "partial 16S ribosomal RNA". It matches the Rfam family "Bacterial small subunit ribosomal RNA", at positions 28 to 507 of the family's 1533-position model. The record is from RNAcentral.
GAUGAACGCUGGCGGCGUACCUAAUACAUGCAAGUCGAGCGAACAGACGAGGAGCUUGCUCCUCUGACGUUAGCGGCGGACGGGUGAGUAACACGUGGAUAACCUACCUAUAAGACUGGGAUAACUUCGGGAAACCGGAGCUAAUACCGGAUAAUAUAUUGAACCGCAUGGUUCAAUAGUGAAAGACGGUUUUGCUGUCACUUAUAGAUGGAUCCGCGCCGCAUUAGCUAGUUGGUAAGGUAACGGCUUACCAAGGCAACGAUGCGUAGCCGACCUGAGAGGGUGAUCGGCCACACUGGAACUGAGACACGGUCCAGACUCCUACGGGAGGCAGCAGUAGGGAAUCUUCCGCAAUGGGCGAAAGCCUGACGGAGCAACGCCGCGUGAGUGAUGAAGGUCUUCGGAUCGUAAAACUCUGUUAUUAGGGAAGAACAAAUGUGUAAGUAACUAUGCACGUCUUGACGGUACCUAAUCAGAAAGCCACGGCUAACUACGUG